Molecule: long non-coding RNA, 634 nt
Filed under: Mytilus galloprovincialis (Mediterranean mussel)
Lineage: Eukaryota; Metazoa; Mollusca; Bivalvia; Mytilida; Mytilidae
Source: RNAcentral
CUCAUAAGGUGCUGACCAAGUGUUGUUACUUUGUAGCCGAUCCAUCAUCCAAGAUGGCCGCCAGCGGGGGACUUAGUUUAACAUUGGACCCAAUGGGAAAUGCAUACAAAUGACUUCUUUUAGAGAACCACUGAAUGGAAUAAAACCAAACAUGGCAUGAAUGUUCCUUAUAAGGUGCUGAACAAGUGUUGUUACUUUGUAGCCGAUCCAUCAUCCAAGAUGGCCGCCAGCGGGGGACUAAGUUUAACUUAGGACCCUAUGGGAAAUGCAUACAAAUGACUUCUUUUAGAGAACCACAGAAUGGAAUGAAACCAAACAUGGCAUGAAUGUUCCUUAUAAGGUGCUGACCAAGUGUUGUUACUUUGUAGCCGAUCCAUCAUCCAAGAUGACCGCCAGCGGGGUACUAAGUUUAACAUAGGACCCUAUGGGAAAUGCAUACAAAUGACUUCUUUUAGAGAACUACUGAAUGGAAUAAAACCAAACAUGGCAUGAAUGUUCCCUAUGAGAUGCUGACCAAGUGUUGUUACUUUGUAGCCGAUCCAUCAUCCAAGAUGGCCGCCAGCAGGGGACUUAGUUUAACAUAGGACCCUAUGGGAAAUGCAUAUAAAUGACUUCUUUUAGAGAACCACUGAAU